Molecule: non-coding RNA, 69 nt
Organism: Pseudonocardia sp. HH130629-09
Lineage: Bacteria; Bacillati; Actinomycetota; Actinomycetes; Pseudonocardiales; Pseudonocardiaceae
Rfam family: ASpks TB sRNA
Source: Rfam
CUUCAGCGACCCGAGCCACAGCGGCUGCCGGCGGUUCCGGCCGUAGGUGGCGAUCAGCGCCUGGGCCUC